RNAcentral lists this ribosomal RNA (468 nucleotides) under uncultured bacterium. Its description in RNAcentral is "partial 16S ribosomal RNA". It matches the Rfam family "Bacterial small subunit ribosomal RNA", at positions 28 to 507 of the family's 1533-position model. The record is from RNAcentral.
GACGAACGCUGGCGGCGUGCUUAACACAUGCAAGUCGAACGGAAAGGCCCUGCUUUUGUGGGGUGCUCGAGUGGCGAACGGGUGAGUAACACGUGAGUAACCUGCCCUUGACUUUGGGAUAACUUCAGGAAACUGGGGCUAAUACCGGAUAGGAGCUCCUGCUGCAUGGUGGGGGUUGGAAAGUUUCGGCGGUUGGGGAUGGACUCGCGGCUUAUCAGCUUGUUGGUGGGGUAGUGGCUUACCAAGGCUUUGACGGGUAGCCGGCCUGAGAGGUUGACCGGCCUCGUUGGUACUGAGAUACGGCCCAGGCUCCUACGGGUGGCAGCAGUGGGGAAUAUUGCACAAUGGGCGGACGCCUGAUGCAGCAACGCCGCGUGCGGGAUGACGGCCUUCGGGUUGUAAACCGCUUUCGCCUGUGACGAAGCGUGAGUGACGGUAAUGGGUAAAGAAGCACCGGCUAACUACGUG